This 89-nucleotide non-coding RNA is filed under the name Thalassiosira minuscula. Lineage: Eukaryota; Bacillariophyta; Thalassiosirophyceae; Thalassiosirales; Thalassiosiraceae. The record is from RNAcentral.
GUUAAAUGACGCAGUCGGCAAAAAGGUGAGAAUAUUUUUUUAAUUCGUACUUUUUAUUUAUUUAUAAAAUAUUGCUUAUUUUUAUUUUU